GACUUCGCGGUAAGUCUAACCCUAAUUUCGUAUGAUAAUCUUUUGCGACGUGUCUCUGCAAGACAUCGGGGAAAGUGAAAUGAUUAUAAACCUUUCUGCGACGUCGUGUCCUUGUACAAAAUUAGGGUUAGACUUAUCGCGACGUC
This 146-nucleotide microRNA precursor is filed under the name Cucumis sativus (cucumber). RNAcentral's name for it is "miR11333 stem-loop (cst-MIR11333)". The record is from miRBase by way of RNAcentral. Lineage: Eukaryota; Viridiplantae; Streptophyta; Magnoliopsida; Cucurbitales; Cucurbitaceae.